This 284-nucleotide long non-coding RNA is filed under the name Gossypium barbadense (sea-island cotton). RNAcentral describes it as "long non-coding RNA (GBAR_LNC023325)". Lineage: Eukaryota; Viridiplantae; Streptophyta; Magnoliopsida; Malvales; Malvaceae. The record is from RNAcentral.
UUAAAUUUAUCGAUUUAUAUUAUUUUUGGAGAGAAAGGAAAACACAAGGCCUUCCAGUAUAAUCAAGUAAUUCGUGUUGUCCAUCUCCAUUGAAGGCGGUGACCCCGUUACUAUAACAUGUCACAGAACUAAGGUGUAACAAGUUAUACUAACAAGGUCAUUGUCUUCAGUGGAGAUGUAAAACACAAAUUACUUGAUUAUACUGGAAGACCCUUGCGUUUUCUUUCAUUACACUUCUGUAUGGGUUUUAUAAAGCAUACUCCUUUGACGAGGAGAAACUCGUU